RNAcentral lists this transfer RNA (82 nucleotides) under Leptospiraceae bacterium. Its description in RNAcentral is "tRNA-Leu". It matches the Rfam family "tRNA". Rfam says of the family: Transfer RNA (tRNA) molecules are approximately 80 nucleotides in length. Their secondary structure includes four short double-helical elements and three loops (D, anti-codon, and T loops). Lineage: Bacteria; Pseudomonadati; Spirochaetota; Leptospiria; Leptospirales; Leptospiraceae. The record is from RNAcentral. RNAcentral also lists the same sequence under 2 other names.
GCGAGCGUGGUGAAACUGGUAGACACGCGGGAUUUAGGUUCCCGUGCUGAAAGGCGUGGGGGUUCAAGUCCCUCCGCUCGCA